GGUGAACGCUGGCGGCAGGCUUAACACAUGCAAGUCGGACGGGAGGAGGGUUUUCCAGUGGCGGACGGGGGAGCAACGGGUGAGAAGGUGCGCAUGGGAGGGGAACCACAGCUGGAAACGGCUGCUAAUAACCCGUAGGCAGGGGAGCAAAAGGAGGAAUCCGCGGGAGGAGGGGCUUGCGUCUGAGUAACUAGGUGGUGGGGCCAUAGCUUACCAAGGCGAUGAUCAGUAGCUGGUAAGAGUGGAUGAUCAGCCACACUGGGACUGGGACACGGCCCAGGCACCUACGGGCAGCAGCAGUAAGGCUGUUUCCGCCAUGGGCCAUGGCCUGACGGAGCCUUGCCGCGUUGAGGUAGAAUGCCCACGGGUCAUGAACUGCUUUUCCCGAACACGAAGCACUGACGGUAUCUAGGGAAUAAGCAUCGGCUAACUCUGUG
RNAcentral lists this ribosomal RNA (437 nucleotides) under uncultured bacterium. RNAcentral's name for it is "partial 16S ribosomal RNA". It matches the Rfam family "Bacterial small subunit ribosomal RNA", at positions 28 to 507 of the family's 1533-position model. The record is from RNAcentral.